Molecule: ribosomal RNA, 433 nt
Filed under: uncultured bacterium
Lineage: Bacteria
Description: partial 16S ribosomal RNA
Rfam family: Bacterial small subunit ribosomal RNA
Source: RNAcentral
AACGAACGCUGGCGGCAUGCCUAACACAUGCAAGUCGAACGAGACCUUCGGGUCUAGUGGCGCACGGGUGCGUAACGCGUGGGAACCUGCCCUUAGGUUCGGAAUAACUCCCCGAAAGGGGUGCUAAUACCGGAUAAUGUCUUCGGACCAAAGAUUUAUCGCCUUUGGAUGGGCCCGCGUUGGAUGAGCUAGUUGGUAGGGUAAAAGCCUACCAAGGCGACGAUCCAUAGCUGGUUUGAGAGGAUGAUCAGCCACACUGGGACUGAGACACGGCCCAGACGCCUACGGGAAGCAGCAGUGGGGAAUAUUGGACAAUGGGCGAAAGCCUGAUCCAGCAAGUCCGCGUGAGUGAUGAAGGCCUUAGGGUUGUAAAGCUCUUUUACCCGGGAUGAUAAUGACAGUACCGAGAGAAUAAGCGCCGGCUAACUCCGUG